RNAcentral lists this ribosomal RNA (373 nucleotides) under uncultured organism. RNAcentral's name for it is "partial 16S ribosomal RNA". It matches the Rfam family "Bacterial small subunit ribosomal RNA", at positions 527 to 896 of the family's 1533-position model. The record is from RNAcentral.
GUAGGUGGCGAGCGUUGUCCGGAAUUAUUGGGCGUAAAGCGCGCGCAGGCGGUCCUUUAAGUCUGAUGUGAAAGCCCACGGCUCAACCGUGGAGGGUCAUUGGAAACUGGGGGACUUGAGUACAGAAGAGGAAAGCGGAAUUCCAAGUGUAACGGUGAGAUGCGUAGAGAUUUGGAGGAACACCAGUGGCGAAGGCGGCUUUCUGGUCUGUAACUGACGCUGAGGCGCGAAAGCGUGGGGAGCAAACAGGAUUAGAUACCCUGGUAGUCCACGCCGUAAACGAUGAGUGCUAAGUGUUAGGGGGUUUCCCGCCCCCUUAGUGCUGCAGCUAACGCAUUAAGCACUCCGCCUGGGGAGUACGGCCGCAAGGCUG